GCGAACGCUGGCGGCAGGCCUAACACGUGCAAGUCGAACGGAUCCUUCGGGAUUAGUGGCGGACGGGUGAGUAACACGUGGGAACGUGCCCUUUGGUUCGGAACAACUCAGGGAAACUUGAGCUAAUACCGGAUGUGCCCUUCGGGGGAAAGAUUUAUCGCCAUUGGAGCGGCCCGCGUCUGAUUAGCUAGUUGGUGAGGUAACGGCCCACCAAGGCGACGAUCAGUAGCUGGUCUGAGAGGAUGAUCAGCCACACUGGGACUGAGACACGGCCCAGACUCCUACGGGAGGCAGCAGUGGGGAAUCUUGCGCAAUGGGCGAAAGCCUGACGCAGCCAUGCCGCGUGAAUGAUGAAGGUCUUAGGAUUGUAAAAUUCUUUCAGCGGGGACGAUAAUGACGGUACCCGCAGAAGAAGCUCCGGCUAACUUCGUG
RNAcentral lists this ribosomal RNA (432 nucleotides) under uncultured bacterium. Its description in RNAcentral is "partial 16S ribosomal RNA". It matches the Rfam family "Bacterial small subunit ribosomal RNA", at positions 29 to 507 of the family's 1533-position model. The record is from RNAcentral.